RNAcentral lists this ribosomal RNA (448 nucleotides) under Escherichia coli. RNAcentral's name for it is "partial 23S ribosomal RNA". It matches the Rfam family "Bacterial large subunit ribosomal RNA", at positions 165 to 652 of the family's 2925-position model. Lineage: Bacteria; Pseudomonadati; Pseudomonadota; Gammaproteobacteria; Enterobacterales; Enterobacteriaceae. The record is from RNAcentral.
CAUAGGUUAAUGAGGCGAACCGGGGGAACUGAAACAUCUAAGUACCCCGAGGAAAAGAAAUCAACCGAGAUUCCCCCAGUAGCGGCGAGCGAACGGGGAGGAGCCCAGAGCCUGAAUCAGUGUGUGUGUUAGUGGAAGCGUCUGGAAAGGCGCGCGAUACAGGGUGACAGCCCCGUACACAAAAAUGCACAUAUUGUGAGCUCGAUGAGUAGGGCGGGACACGUGGUAUCCUGUCUGAAUAUGGGGGGACCAUCCUCCAAGGCUAAAUACUCCUGACUGACCGAUAGUGAACCAGUACCGUGAGGGAAAGGCGAAAAGAACCCCGGCGAGGGGAGUGAAAAAGAACCUGAAACCGUGUACGUACAAGCAGUGGGAGCCUCUUAAUGGGGUGACUGCGUACCUUUUGUAUAAUGGGUCAGCGACUUAUAUUCUGUAGCAAGGUUAACCG